AAGAAUGAGCCUGCGAGUCAGCGGCAUGUCGCGAGGUUAACCCGUGUGGGGUAGCCGUAGGGAAACCGAAUCCUAAUGGGGUGUUUAGUGGCAUGUCCUGGACCCGAAGCGGGGUGAUCUACCCAUGGCCAGUGUGAAGCAGCAGUAAGAUGCUGUGGAGGCGCGAACCCACGUAGGUUGAAAACUGCGGGGAUGAGCUGUGGGUAGGGGUGAAAGGCCAAUCAAACUCCGUGAUAGCUGGUUCUCCCCGAAAUGCAUUUAGGUGCAGCGUCGCAUUAGCUUGGUGGAGGUAGAGCUACUGGUUGGUUGAGCGGGACUACAAUCUUAGCAAUGUCAGCCAAACUCCGAAUGCCAUUAAUGUGUUGUGCGGCAGUGAGACUGUGGGGGAUAAGCUUCAUAGUCGAGAGGGAAACAGCCCAGAUCGCCGGUUAAGGCCCCUAAGGGUGUGCUAAGUGGAAAAGGAUGUGGGAUCGCGAAGACAGCCAGGAGGUUGGCUUAGAAGCAGCCAUCCUUGAAAGAGUGCGUAAUAGCUCACUGGUCGAGUGGUUCUGCGCCGACAAUGUAGUGGGGCUCAAGCACAC
This 581-nucleotide ribosomal RNA is filed under the name Corynebacterium striatum. RNAcentral describes it as "partial 23S ribosomal RNA". It matches the Rfam family "Bacterial large subunit ribosomal RNA", at positions 611 to 1191 of the family's 2925-position model. Lineage: Bacteria; Bacillati; Actinomycetota; Actinomycetes; Mycobacteriales; Corynebacteriaceae. The record is from RNAcentral.